Molecule: long non-coding RNA, 1107 nt
Organism: Magnolia sinica
Lineage: Eukaryota; Viridiplantae; Streptophyta; Magnoliopsida; Magnoliales; Magnoliaceae
Exons: 3
Source: RefSeq, a predicted model, not a curated record
UGUGGCUGGAGAUGAGGCAUUUGGGAAUGAGGUUGAGGAUGUUGCGGCAUUUGGGAAUGUUGUUGUGCAUUCGACUGUGGAUGAGAUAGGGGCAGGUGUGGGUGUUGCUCCUUUCUAGCAGGAAGAUAUUUUUCGGUUGGUUGGCAUCCCAUUGGUAAAGAACUCCUUGGCUGGUUUUAACACUUCCAUAUUGUCAUAUGGAUAGGUAUGAAUUGAUAAUGUGCAUGCCUGCAAAUGACAUGGGUUUUAAAGUUUGGUGGAUGGAUGGUCUUCAUCCAAGUACUUAUGCCCAUUUCAUGUUAUGCAGGAAAAUCACAUUGAUCCGAACCAGCUAUUGCUAGGUCCGGUACUAUGAUUUGUGCCCUUUGGCACUUAGCAAACUAGAUUUCUGAGAUGUCCUCUUUUCCAAACUGAAAACACAAAUACUAGCCUGGUUCAAAAUUUAUGUCCUCAUGAAUGUUUCAAUGGUGGGUGUUCAUUCUCCAUUUUUGUUUUUUCCUGUUAUGUGGCUUACUUGCAUUUCGUAUCUGCUCCAUCAGCUAGACAUCAUCAUGAUUAGGAACUCAAAUGGACCUUCAUCAGUAUGAUACAUUUGACUUGGAUCAUUGUUGAAAAAUGAUUGAUGGUUAUCAUACAUAUUAAUUUGACGUGGAAGCUUACCGAAAGAGAUGAGGCCUUGGUGCAAAGCAAGAGUGCCAUAGAAAAAGUUGAAUUCUUGAAGAAACGAUGACCAAGAAAAGGAGGUGGUUGAUUGAUAAACAGCCCGAUGGCAGUAGUGGAGGUUAUUCAGGUGGGAUCCAUGAUCUUGAAACACAACUCAAGCUUUAUGGUACGGAUUCCAAAGAACUCAAGUGGAUUUUUCUUUUCUUUUCCUUUUUUCCUUUCUUUCUGGAAGAUGACUUUGAAAUGGCAUUUGGUUGUUUUGUUUCUUUGAAUUUGGUUCUCCAAUGGUAGAAAAUGGUAACUUUCAUUUUGGGUUUUUAAAUUCCUAGGUCCUCAACUGCAGAAAUUCAAAACCCAAAUCCAAUUUUUGAUUUUUGGAUUCAAAAUUGUUUGGCAUUUAGAGAGCCAAAGUUUCUAUGGCCUAAACAUAGAUGACUUGACCUU